UACGGAGGGUGCAAGCAUUGAUCGGAAUUACUGGGCGUAAAGGGCGCGUAGGCGGUGCGGUAAGUCACCUGUGAAAUCUCCGGGCUCAACUCGGAGCCUGCAGGCGAAACUGCCGUGCUAGAGGGUGGGAGAGGUGCGUGGAAUUCCCGGUGGAGCGGUGAAAUGCGUAGAUAGCGGGAGGAACAACUGUGGCGAAAGCGGCGCACUGGACCACAUCUGACGCUGAGGCGCGAAAGCUAGGGGAGCAAACAGG
This 253-nucleotide ribosomal RNA is filed under the name uncultured bacterium. RNAcentral describes it as "partial 16S ribosomal RNA". It matches the Rfam family "Bacterial small subunit ribosomal RNA", at positions 524 to 776 of the family's 1533-position model. The record is from RNAcentral.